UGCCCUAGCAGACGACAGAGCACAGC
This 26-nucleotide non-coding RNA is filed under the name Homo sapiens (human). The record is from RNAcentral. Lineage: Eukaryota; Metazoa; Chordata; Mammalia; Primates; Hominidae.